CCUGGCGGCACUAGCGCGGUGGUCCCACCUGACCCCAUGCCGAACUCAGAAGUGAAACGCCGUAGCGCCGAUGGUAGUGUGGGGUCUCCCCAUGUGAGAGUAGGGAACUGCCAGGU
Molecule: ribosomal RNA, 116 nt
Filed under: Klebsiella oxytoca
Lineage: Bacteria; Pseudomonadati; Pseudomonadota; Gammaproteobacteria; Enterobacterales; Enterobacteriaceae
Also listed under: 4 other names
Source: RNAcentral